CAGAAACAUUUCAUAGUACUAUAUUAUGUCUAAAUAUGUGAAAAGAAUCAAAUUGGAGUAGGUCGGGAAACUGAUUAUAUGAGUUUGUUAGAAAAACCACUUUCCUUUGCUCCUAGCGCCUUCUCGUUCGCUGUAUAGCGUUUUGAGCGGAUAAAGAGCACAAGUGUGUAUGGGUACACAGGAUGAAUGGGAACUAGUUUUGUUAUUGUACUUUUGAUGAAAAGUGACUUUCUAGACAUAAAAUGUCACUUUUU
Long non-coding RNA from Ictalurus punctatus (channel catfish), 254 nucleotides. Lineage: Eukaryota; Metazoa; Chordata; Actinopteri; Siluriformes; Ictaluridae. The record is from Ensembl.